GAUCGAUCGGCAGCACACGAUCCGAAUGGCUCCCAAGCUCACACACAAGCACAUCCAUCUCCCAGCUUUUUCAAAGAUGAGAGUGAGCUUGGCCACUCAGAUAUUCAGCCAUUCAGUCUCUGCUGGAAUCUCUGCAAUGGUCACACUCAACAGACUCCCACCUGAGGCCAAGGGCACCGCGGACUUCAUUGACAAAGUCAACAGACUUUUUGACGUCCUAAAUUCAAGAUCUGUUAGGGACUCUAACCCGUGGAGGAGGCCCCUUGGUGCUGGAAAUCAGGAGAAGGAGACCUUCCUGGCCAGCUCCAUGGGUUGGAUAGCAGGAUGGCAGUUCAGGUCCAAGCGCAAACCUCCUUGCCAGAAUGGCUUGAUCACCACCAUCAGGAGCAUUCUGUACAUUGCAAAGCAAUGUACCACAGCUGCUGGCCUGAAAUAUUUGUGC
Long non-coding RNA from Eleginops maclovinus (Patagonian blennie), 442 nucleotides. RefSeq lists it as uncharacterized. NCBI's taxonomy places the organism in Eukaryota, Metazoa, Chordata, Actinopteri, Perciformes, Eleginopidae. The record is from RefSeq and is a predicted model, not a curated record. The transcript has 4 exons.